GACGAACGCUGGCGGCGUGCUUAACACAUGCAAGUCGAACGGUAAGGCCCUUCGGGGUACACGAGUGGCGAACGGGUGAGUAACACGUGGGUGAUCUGCCCUGCACUUCGGGAUAAGCUUGGGAAACUGGGUCUAAUACCGGAUAGGACCACGGUCUGCAUGGAUUGUGGUGGAAAGCUUUUGCGGUGUGGGAUGGGCCCGCGGCCUAUCAGCUUGUUGGUGGGGUGAUGGCCUACCAAGGCGACGACGGGUAGCCGGCCUGAGAGGGUGUCCGGCCACACUGGGACUGAGAUACGGGCCCAGACUCCUACGGGAGGCAGCAGUGGGGAAUAUUGCACAAUGGGCGCAAGCCUGAUGCAGCGACGCCGCGUGGGGGGAUGACGGCCUUCGGGUUGGUAAACCUCUUUCUAGCAGGGACGAAGGGUGACUGACGGUACCUGUAGAAGAAGCACCGGCCAACUACGUGCCAGCAGCCGCGGUAAU
This 483-nucleotide ribosomal RNA is filed under the name uncultured bacterium. RNAcentral describes it as "bacterial SSU rRNA". It matches the Rfam family "Bacterial small subunit ribosomal RNA", at positions 28 to 524 of the family's 1533-position model. The record is from RNAcentral.